AAACUAACAAGGAUUCCCCUAGUAGCGGCGAGCGAAGCGGGAAGAGCUCAAAUUUAUAAUCUGGCACCUUCGGUGUCCGAGUUGUAAUCUCUAGAAAUGUUUUCCGCGUUGGACCGCACACAAGUCUGUUGGAAUACAGCGGCAUAGUGGUGAGACCCCCGUAUAUGGUGCGGACGCCCAGCGCUUUGUGAUACAUUUUCGAAGAGUCGAGUUGUUUGGGAAUGCAGCUCAAAUUGGGUGGUAAAUUCCAUCUAAAGCUAAAUAUUGGCGAGAGACCGAUAGCGAACAAGUACCGUGAGGGAAAGAUGAAAAGCACUUUGGAAAGAGAGUUAACAGUACGUGAAAUUGUUGGAAGGGAAACGCUUGAAGUCAGACUUGCUUGCCGAGCAAUCGGUUUGCAGGCCAGCAUCAGUUUUCCGGGAUGGAUAAUGGUAGAGAGAAGGUAGCAGUUUCGGCUGUGUUAUAGCUCUCUGCUGGAUACAUCUUGGGGGACUGAGGAACGCAGUGUGCCUUUGGCGGGGGUUUCGACCUCUUCACACUUAGGAUGCUGGUGGAAUGGCUUUAAACGA
RNAcentral lists this ribosomal RNA (569 nucleotides) under Rhodotorula mucilaginosa. Its description in RNAcentral is "partial large subunit ribosomal RNA". It matches the Rfam family "Eukaryotic large subunit ribosomal RNA", at positions 62 to 647 of the family's 3401-position model. The record is from RNAcentral. Lineage: Eukaryota; Fungi; Basidiomycota; Microbotryomycetes; Sporidiobolales; Sporidiobolaceae.